Molecule: long non-coding RNA, 341 nt
Filed under: Homo sapiens (human)
Lineage: Eukaryota; Metazoa; Chordata; Mammalia; Primates; Hominidae
Description: HSALNT0079299
Source: RNAcentral
AGUAAGUAGCUUAUUCUUGGUUUGUAUUUUCCUUAAGUUGGCGCUUGUAUAUUGUAGCAGGCAUCUUGGUCUGUUGUUGGUCCUGUGGUGGGAGACUUUAAGGAAAUGUCAGCUCUUGGUUGCAGCCUUGGCACCUGUGGUGAUCAUUUUUAGUACAGCACUUGGAGAGAAGCAAGAUGGUGCUUUUUGAAUUAAGAAAAUGUGCCAUGGGUAGUUCUGAGCUUCAAAUAAGUACUGUUGAUAAGUCACUGGUGUCUGGAUAGAUUUGAUAACAAAGGUUAAGGUCUUUAUAAUUUACCAUUAACUUAAUUUCUACCCUCAGUUUACAGGCUUGACUUUGC